This 1244-nucleotide ribosomal RNA is filed under the name metagenome. RNAcentral describes it as "bacterial LSU rRNA". It matches the Rfam family "Bacterial large subunit ribosomal RNA", at positions 1564 to 2818 of the family's 2925-position model. The record is from RNAcentral.
UGAGUACGAGAUGCUACGGCAUCGAAGCAGUCUAUGUCAUACUUCCAAGAAAAGCUUGCACUGUCAUAAACAAAGAAUGCCUGUACCAUAACCGACACAGGUGGGUAGGUAGAGUAUACUAAGGGGCGCGAGAUAACUCUCUCUAAGGAACUCGGCAAAAUGACUCCGUAACUUCGGGAGAAGGAGUGCCUUAUUUCUAAGGUUGCAAUAACAAGAUCCAAGCAACUGUUUACCAAAAACACAGGUCUCCGCUAAGUCGUAAGACGAUGUAUGGGGGCUGACGCCUGCCCAGUGCCAGAAGGUUAAAGAAGUUGGUUAGCAUUAGCGAAGCUGAUAACUGAAGCCCUGGUGAACGGCGGCCGUAACAAUAACGGUCCUAAGGUAGCGAAAUUCCUUGUCGGGUAAGUUCCGACCCGCACGAAAGGCGUAAUGAUUUGGAUACUGUCUCGGAGAGGGGCUCGGUGAAAUAGACUUGUCUGUGAAGAUGCGGACUACCUGCACCUGGACAGAAAGACCCUAUGAAGCUUUACUGUAACUUGAGAUUGAAAUUGGACUUUAUUUGCGCAGUAUAGGUGGGAGGCGUUGAGAAUAAUCUUGCGGGAUUGUUGGAGCCAUCAGUGAGAUACCACUCUUGCAAUGUUAGAUUUCUAACUUUGUAUCAUUAUCUGGUCAAAGAACAGUUUCAGGCGGGCAGUUUGACUGGGGCGGUCGCCUCCCAAAGGGUAACGGAGGCGCACAAAGGUUUCCUCUGAACGGGUAGAAAUCGUAUCUAGAGUGUAAAGGCAUAAGGAAGCUUGACUGUGAGACCUACAAGUCGAGCAGGGACGAAAGUCGGUCUUAGUGAUCUGACGGUGCUGAGUAGAAAGGCCGUCACUCAACGGAUAAAAGUUACUCUAGGAUAACAGGCUGAUCUCCCCCAAGAGUUCACAUCGACGGGGAGGUUUGGCACCUCGAUGUCGGCUCAUCGCAUCCUGGGGCGGUAGUCCGUCCCAAGGGUUGGGCUGUUCGCCCAUGAAAGCGGUACGCGAGCUGGGUUCAGAACGUCGUGAGACAGUUCGGUCCAUAUCCGGUGUAGGCGUUAGAAUAUUGAGAGGAGCCUUCUCUAGUACGAGAGGACCGAGAAGGACAUACCUCUGGUGUACCAGUUAUCGUGCCAACGGUAAACGCUGGGUAGCUAUGUAUGGAGUGGAUAACCGCUGAAAGCAUCUAAGUGGGAAGCCCACCUCAAGAUAAGUAUUCUCAUC